RNAcentral lists this long non-coding RNA (208 nucleotides) under Capsicum annuum. Its description in RNAcentral is "long non-coding RNA (CANN_LNC021247)". The record is from RNAcentral. Lineage: Eukaryota; Viridiplantae; Streptophyta; Magnoliopsida; Solanales; Solanaceae.
AACUCUUCAUUUUUUUUCCUUCAUAUACAUAUAAAAAUAACAUAAUCUUUCCUUUUUUUUUUAAUAAAAUAUAAAUAAAUUAAAAUACAGUUGAAGUUUACCUCUUCAUUUUUUUUAUUCGGUACUUGAAUUGGAGCACGACUAAUUUAGAUUUGCACCGGAUAGGACCCUAUUCGAAGUAGCACUUCCUACCAAGAAUUUUAUCAUA